ACCCGGGUGGCCAGUGACAAAUACUGCCCUUAAUGAGUCACUUUAGACUGGGAAGUUUUAAUUACACUCUGUGUGGUUCGUAAGUCUGAAUUAGAAACUCUUAAUCCCCCGUUUGCAGCAGAUGGGAAAAUGGCUGCGGCCCUCAGGCGGUGAAAGGUCCUGGGAUAUGGCCGCCAUUUUUAUUGGGGGAUAUUAAAUCAGAAUAAUUGAGGCUGGGAUCUCAAAAGCAAGUUUUUACAGUCAAUGGAGUCAUCAGGAUCUGAAUAUCAUUGGCAAUUAACUGUGGAAGGAGAAAGAUUGUUAAGGCGGAGAGAUGGCCUGUUGUAGAGUGGCGUGCUGUUCCUGUCGGAUGUGGGAGAUUAGGGAGAGUUUCAAUGAUCCUGAUGAUUAUGUCUGUAGCAAGUGUGAUUGCAAAUCCUUUUGGAUCACAUGGAUUGGUGGAGGAGUGAUUAAAGGCAGUGAGGA
Molecule: non-coding RNA, 465 nt
Organism: Chiloscyllium plagiosum (whitespotted bambooshark)
Lineage: Eukaryota; Metazoa; Chordata; Chondrichthyes; Orectolobiformes; Hemiscylliidae
Source: RefSeq, a predicted model, not a curated record